Portunus trituberculatus (swimming crab) is the source of this 471-nucleotide long non-coding RNA. RefSeq lists it as uncharacterized. Lineage: Eukaryota; Metazoa; Arthropoda; Malacostraca; Decapoda; Portunidae. The record is from RefSeq and is a predicted model, not a curated record. The transcript has 4 exons.
CAGUCCUACUCGAAGCAUUCGGGUGUCCAUAUAGGCUGAGAGUCGUGGCAGAGCUGACAUUCACCCUGCAGACUUCAUAAUCGCAAUGGCUUUGCGCAGCACUGGUUCGCGUCUUCCCCUGCUGGUUGGGGUCAUGCUGGUGGUGGUGGUGUAUACUUCCCAACAAGCUCUGGCAGUCCCGGUACUGAGUGAUGGGUCUUCCAGCAGCAGUGGAAGCUAUACCAGUUUUGAAAGCUAUGGCAGCAGUGGAGUUAUGAAUCCAGUUCCAGUUCUGAGUAUGCAAGAAACCUUAGAGCUCUGAGUGAGGCAUCUUCAUUUGACAGCAGUUCUGAUGAAGACUCCUAUGGUUCAUCUGGUGGCUCCUACGGUUCAUCUGGUGAUUCCUACAGUGCAUCUAGUUCCUACUGAUUGCCAACAAUUGUAACCAGUCAAGCAAACCUAACACUAUGUAUAAUGAAAAGCAAUCAAACA